AAAAUGCGAUACUUGGUGUGAAUUGCAGAAUCCCGUGAACCAUCGAGUUUUUGAACGCAAGUUGCGCCCGAAGCCCUCGUGGCCAGGGCACGUCUGUCUGGGCGUCACGCACCGCGUCGCCCCCACCCCCCUCCGGGGGGUACGGGGCGGAGAUUGGCCCCCCGUGUGCCUCGUGGCGCGCGGCCGGCCCAAACAUAGACCCCGCGACCGCUGGACGGCGCGACGAUCGGUGGAGUAGACCCUACGCAUCCCGUCGCGCCCCGAGCGGCCCUCGGAGGCCAUGAUCGACCCUUAGUAAAACUACCGUUGCGACCCCAGAUCAGGCGGGACUACCCGCUGAGUUUAA
RNAcentral lists this unclassified non-coding RNA (346 nucleotides) under uncultured fungus. RNAcentral's name for it is "sequence contains ITS1". The stretch from base 1 to 107 matches the Rfam family "5.8S ribosomal RNA", at positions 50 to 154 of the family's 154-position model. Lineage: Eukaryota; Fungi. The record is from RNAcentral.